GGAAUAUUGCACAAUGGGCGCAAGCCUGAUGCAGCCAUGCCGCGUGUAUGAAGAAGGCCUUCGGGUUGUAAAGUACUUUCAGCGGGGAGGAAGGCGGUGAGGUUAAUAACCUCAUCGAUUGACGUUACCCGCAGAAGAAGCACCGGCUAACUCCGUGCCAGCAGCCGCGGUAAUACGGAGGGUGCAAGCGUUAAUCGGAAUUACUGGGCGUAAAGCGCACGCAGGCGGUCUGUCAAGUCGGAUGUGAAAUCCCCGGGCUCAACCUGGGAACUGCAUUCGAAACUGGCAGGCUAGAGUCUUGUAGAGGGGGGUAGAAUUCCAGGUGUAGCGGUGAAAUGCGUAGAGAUCUGGAGGAAUACCGGUGGCGAAGGCGGCCCCCUGGACAAAGACUGACGCUCAGGUGCGAAAGCGUGGGGAGCAAACAGGA
RNAcentral lists this unclassified non-coding RNA (427 nucleotides) under plant metagenome. Its description in RNAcentral is "partial contains 5.8S ribosomal RNA, internal transcribed spacer 2, and large subunit ribosomal RNA". It matches the Rfam family "Bacterial small subunit ribosomal RNA", at positions 358 to 777 of the family's 1533-position model. The record is from RNAcentral.